UCGACAGCCUUGGAUAGGUGGGAAAAAAGAGGACAGGCGUUAAAAUAUUAAAGACAACACAUUAUUUAUGCUUCCUAAUAGCUACUAAAGUAAACAAGAUCAAAGCAUUAUUCUUUUUUAGUGGCUUGAAAAAACUCUCCCUUACUAUUCAUAGUUUUAAAUAAGAAAUGACUAUUUUCUGACUUUACAAACCCUUUAAGGUUAAGCUCUUCCUCAGAUGUGAAUAUAAAAUCAAAAUAAUCAUGAAUCUCUGCUUUUCCCUUAUUGUGAGAGUCCACUUUAUAGAGACUGUACAGUUGUGGAAGCAUCUUCUUUCUUUACUCGCGAUGACUGUUUGUGUAAUUCAAUCAAAGGAAGACAGCAUGUUCAUAAUUUAGGACCUUUUGCACUAAUUAAAAUGUUUUUGAAAAAAUUACAAUAUGUGGUUAGAUUAAGCAAUUCAAUUGAUUUUGAAGAGUGAUCAUUUGUAGAAAGCACAGGAAUUUUAUGUAUUAAAUAUAGUACUUAAAAAAGAUUCAUGGGAGAAUUAGUGGAAAAUGGAAAACUUAUGGGAUAUCUGAAUUAAAUGUGAUUAAAAAGCUAGACCUCAGGCUAACAUCCUUAAUAUGAAAGACACUACUGACAAAUUAAUGGAACUUAUUAUAUCUCUUACUCAAACGAACACUUGGUUCUGAUAGUAGCACGUGUUUGGGUAAGAGAUCUUCCCUAACUAUAUUAACCAGGAAAAGUUUAUAUUAUGAUAUAUAGUAACAGACAUUGCCAUAAUGGACAUGCCUUAACACAACAAAAAAGUUUAUUCAUGCUUCUCGCUCCUUAUGGGAAAGACUGUUCCAAUCCCUUCAGGAGAUAGAUUGACAGACUCUGCCAUCUUAUAGCUCUAUCACCAGGAACACAGCAACUCAUUUUCUAUGGCAAAAAAAGAAAAUGACUGAAGGUCUCUAUGAACUUUUCAGAGCCCUAACUUGGAGGGGAAACAGAUCAUCAAUCAUAUUUCUUUGCCCAAAACUACUUACACAGUCCCACACAUCUGCGGGGAGACUGAAUCCUUGAACCCAGUUCAGGAGAAGUGGGGAUUUUGGUGAACAAUGCUAAUAUCAACCACUUUGACAUCACCAGUUGGUUUCUGGAUGCUAUGAAAAACACUCCAAUUUCUCUUGUGUAACUUCAAUAAAGUUACACUUUCAAAAACUAAUUCUCUAUAGGUGUUCAGCUCACUGUUGUAUAGAGUGAACUUUCCAAUUCCUUUCUCUUUGUAUUAAUUGUACAGUAUAGAUCGUCCCCAACUUAAAAUGUUUUACUUGAAUGUUUCAACUUUGUUAUAGUACAAAAGCUCAUUCAUGCAACCAUUUCAUUUCUUCACUUUCAGUACAGUGUUCAAUAAAUUACGUGAGAUAUUCUGUGUUUUAUUAUAAAAUAGGCUUUAUGUUAAUUUUGUCCACUGUAAGCUAAUUAAUAUAAGUGACAUGAGAAUGUUU
RNAcentral lists this long non-coding RNA (1475 nucleotides) under Marmota monax (woodchuck). Lineage: Eukaryota; Metazoa; Chordata; Mammalia; Rodentia; Sciuridae. The record is from RNAcentral.